RNAcentral lists this long non-coding RNA (252 nucleotides) under Hordeum vulgare. Its description in RNAcentral is "long non-coding RNA (HVUL_LNC001047)". Lineage: Eukaryota; Viridiplantae; Streptophyta; Magnoliopsida; Poales; Poaceae. The record is from RNAcentral.
AGAUACGGUGAAAAAGAUGGGCAUGGACCUGUCAUGAAUAAAACCAAGCAACACUACCCUUAAAGUAGUGAUUUCACGCGUUGAAGCCCACUACUCUGGUACCAUAAUGCCGGAAGUUGUGUUCGGAUCACCCGAUAACUUCUACAGUGAAGACUUGAUCUUCAAAAUUGUCCACUUUCGCAUGCGUACCACACACUACUUGGACGCACCGCCUUUGCCCGAUUCAAUGCGAAGCCUCACUAUGCCUAUCUC